UACCAGCCAUGCCGCGUGUGUGAAGAAGGCCUUUUGGUUGUGAAAGCACUUUAAGCGAGGAGGAGGCGCUCUAGGUUAAUACCUUAGAAGCGUGGACGUUACUCGCAGAAUAAGCACCGGCUAACUCUGUGCCAGCAGCCGCGGUAAUACAGAGGGUGCGAGCGUUAAUCGGAUUUACUGGGCGUAAAGCGUACGUAGGCGGCUUUUUAAGUCGGAUGUGAAAUCCCCGAGCUUAACUUGGGAAUUGCAUUCGAUACUGGGAAGCUAGAGUAUGGGAGAGGAUGGUAGAAUUCCAGGUGUAGCGGUGAAAUGCGUAGAGAUCUGGAGGAAUACCGAUGGCGAAGGCAGCCAUCUGGCCUAAUACUGACGCUGAGGUACGAAAGCAUGGGGAGCAAACAGGAUUAGAUACCCUGGUAGUCCAUGCCGUAAACGAUGUCUACUAGCCGUUGGGGCCUUUGAGGCUUUAGUGGCGCAGCUAACGCGAUAAGUAGACCGCCUGNGGAGUACGGUCGCAAGACU
This 519-nucleotide ribosomal RNA is filed under the name bacterium E-1-0-7H. RNAcentral's name for it is "bacterial SSU rRNA". It matches the Rfam family "Bacterial small subunit ribosomal RNA", at positions 386 to 895 of the family's 1533-position model. The record is from RNAcentral.